This 253-nucleotide ribosomal RNA is filed under the name uncultured bacterium. Its description in RNAcentral is "partial 16S ribosomal RNA". It matches the Rfam family "Bacterial small subunit ribosomal RNA", at positions 524 to 776 of the family's 1533-position model. The record is from RNAcentral.
GACGAACCGUACGAACGUUAUUCGGAAUUACUGGGCUUAAAGGGUUUGUAGGCGGCCUUGUAAGUCAGGUGUGAAAUCCCUCGGCUCAACCGAGGAAUGGCGCUUGAUACUGCAAGGCUUGAGGGAGACAGGGGUAAGCGGAACUGAUGGUGGAGCGGUGAAAUGCGUUGAUAUCAUCAGGAACACCGGUGGCGAAAGCGGCUUACUGGGUCUCUUCUGACGCUGAGGAACGAAAGCGUGGGGAGCGAACAGG